AGAGUUUGAUCAUGGCUCAGGAUGAACGCUAGCGGCAGGCCUAAUACAUGCAAGUCGGACGGGAUUGGAGAGCUUGCUUUCCAUGAGAGUGGCGCACGGGUGCGUAACACGUAUGUAACCUACCCAUAUCAGGGGGGAUAGCCUCUCGAAAGAGAGAUUAAGCCCGCAUAAAAUCACACGGUGGCAUCACCAAAUGAUCAAAUAUUUAUAGGAUAUGGAUGGGCAUGCGGAACAUUAGCUAGUUGGUAAGGUAACGGCUUACCAAGGCUACGAUGUUUAGGGGAUCUGAGAGGAUGACCCCUCACACUGGUACUGAGACACGGACCAGACUCCUACGGGAGGCAGCAGUAAGGAAUAUUGGUCAAUGGGCGGAAGCCUGAACCAGCCAUGCCGCGUGCAGGAAGACGGCCCUACGGGUUGUAAACUGCUUUUAUACGGGAAUAAACCUACUUACGAGUAAGUAGCUGAAUGUACUGUAAGAAUAAGGAUCGGCUAACUCCGUGCCAGCAGCCGCGGUAAUACGGAGGAUCCAAGCGUUAUCCGGAUUUAUUGGGUUUAAAGGGUGCGUAGGCGGCCAAUUAAGUCAGGGGUGAAAGACGGUAGCUUAACUAUCGCAGUGCCUUUGAUACUGAUUGGCUUGAAUGUACUUGAGGUAGGCGGAAUGUGACAAGUAGCGGUGAAAUGCAUAGAUAUGUCACAGAACACCAAUUGCGAAGGCAGCUUACUAAAGUAUGAUUGACGCUGAGGCACGAAAGCGUGGGGAUCAAACAGGAUUAGAUACCCUAGUAGUCC
This 792-nucleotide ribosomal RNA is filed under the name uncultured bacterium. RNAcentral's name for it is "bacterial SSU rRNA". It matches the Rfam family "Bacterial small subunit ribosomal RNA", at positions 8 to 796 of the family's 1533-position model. The record is from RNAcentral.